CGAAAGCCUGAUGCAGCGACGCCGCGUGAGGGAUGACGGCCUUCGGGUUGUAAACCUCUUUCAGCAGGGAAGAAGCGAAAGUGACGGUACCUGCAGAAGAAGCACCGGCUAACUACGUGCCAGCAGCCGCGGUAAUACGUAGGGUGCGAGCGUUGUCCGGAAUUAUUGGGCGUAAAGAGCUUGUAGGCGGUUUGUCGCGUCUGCUGUGAAAAUCCGGGACUCAACCCCGGACUUGCAGUGGGUACGGGCAGACUAGAGUGUGGUAGGGGAGACUGGAAUUCCUGGUGUAGCGGUGAAAUGCGCAGAUAUCAAGAGGAACACCGAUGGCGAAGGCAGGUCUCUGGGCCACUACUGACGCUGAGAAGCGAAAGCAUGGGGAGCGAACAGGAUUAGAUACCCUGGUAGUCCAUGCCGUAAACGUUGGGCGCUAGGUGUGGGACUCAUUCCACGAGUUCCGUGCCGCAGCUAACGCAUUAAGCGCCCC
Molecule: ribosomal RNA, 484 nt
Filed under: uncultured Gram-positive bacterium
Lineage: Bacteria
Description: bacterial SSU rRNA
Rfam family: Bacterial small subunit ribosomal RNA
Source: RNAcentral